GUCCAAUUCCAUCGAGUUUAUCUCAAAUAUCAAGAUUGAGAGUAUUGAAGUUGUCGUACAAUAAUCUUUCGGGGAAAAUUCCUACAGGAACUCAACUUCAAGCCUUUCCAACUUCUUCUUAUGAAGGCAAUUCUCAUCUUUGUAGAGAUCCACUGGAAAAAUGCUUCCCAGAAAUCACUCCAAAUCCCAGCAUUGGGAAUGGAAAUGAAAAUGAAAAUGAAGAGAAAUGGUUUGGACGAGAAUUUCUGAUAAGCAUGUUGUUUGGAUUUAUUGUGGGUUUCUGGGGAAUAUUUGGGAGUUUGGUACUCAAUAGAAGAUGGAGACAUGCAUUCUUCAAAUUUUUUAGGUGUGGAAACAACUAAAAACAGACACCUGGGAGAUGCGUAGUCAGUGUGUAGCAAAUUUUUUAAGAGCAAUGUGAUACUAUUUGUAAUAUCUUCAGUGAGAUAUGUUAUUACUUAGCGUGAUACCGUUCGUUCUAGUUCCCAAACAUUAAUAGAGUUUGUUUGAGACUUAUUUCCAUAAAUGAGUUGUUGUAUUGCCUCUCGUUUAUGAGUA
Molecule: non-coding RNA, 558 nt
Organism: Momordica charantia (bitter melon)
Lineage: Eukaryota; Viridiplantae; Streptophyta; Magnoliopsida; Cucurbitales; Cucurbitaceae
Source: RefSeq, a predicted model, not a curated record